CCUACGGGAGGCAGCAGUGAGGAAUAUUGGUCAAUGGGCGCGAGCCUGAACCAGCCAAGUCGCGUGAGGGAAGACGGUCCUAUGGAUUGUAAACCUCUUUUGUCGGGGAGCAAAAGACGCCACGCGUGGCGUUCCGAGAGUACCCGAAGAAAAAGCAUCGGCUAACUACGUGCCAGCAGCCGCGGUAAUACGGAGGAUGCGAGCGUUAUCCGGAUUUAUUGGGUUAAAAGGGUGCGCAGGCGGAAGAUAAAGUCAGCGGGAAAAUUGAGAGGCUCAACCUCUUCGAGCCGUUGAAACUGGUUUUCUUGAGUGAGCGAGAAGUAUGCGGAAUGCGUGGUGUAGCGGUGAAAUGCAUAGAUAUCACGCAGAACUCCGAUUGCGAAGGCAGCAUACCGGCGCUCAACUGACGCUCAUGCACGAAAGUGUGGGUAUCGAACAGGAUUAGAUACCCUGGUAGUC
Molecule: ribosomal RNA, 459 nt
Filed under: uncultured bacterium
Lineage: Bacteria
Description: partial 16S ribosomal RNA
Rfam family: Bacterial small subunit ribosomal RNA
Source: RNAcentral